RNAcentral lists this ribosomal RNA (253 nucleotides) under uncultured bacterium. RNAcentral describes it as "partial 16S ribosomal RNA". It matches the Rfam family "Bacterial small subunit ribosomal RNA", at positions 524 to 776 of the family's 1533-position model. The record is from RNAcentral.
GACGAACCGUGCGAACGUUGUUCGGAAUCACUGGGCUUAAAGGGCGCGUAGGCGGGCUCGCGAGUCCGGGGUGAAAGCCUCCAGCUCAACUGGAGAAGCGCCUUGGAUACCGCGGGCCUCGAGGGAUGUAGGGGCGUGCGGAACUUCCGGUGGAGCGGUGAAAUGCGUAGAUAUCGGAAGGAACACCGGUGGCGAAAGCGGCGCGCUGGACAUCUUCUGACGCUGAGGCGCGAAAGCCAGGGGAGCAAACGGG